GGACAGAUACUGACACUCAGAUGCGAAAGCGUGGGGAGCAAAACAGGAUUAGAUACCCUGGUAGUCCACGCCGUAAAACGAUGUCUACUUUGGAGGUUGUGGCCUUGAGCCGUGGCUUUUCGGAGCUAACGCGUUAAGUAGACCGCCUGGGGAGUACGGUCGCAAGAUUAAAAACUCAAAUGAAUUGACGGGGGCCCGCACAAGCGGUGGAGCAUGUGGUUUAAUUCGAUGCAACGCGAAGAACCUUACCUACUCUUGACAUCCAUAGAACUUUCCAGAGAUGGAUUGGUGCCUUCGGGAACUAUGAGACAGGUGCUGCAUGGCUGUCGUCAGCUCGUGUUGUGAAAUGUUGGGUUAAGUCCCGCAACGAGCGCAACCCUUAUCCUUGUUUGCCAGCACUUCGGGUGGGAACUCCAGGGAGACUGCCGGUGAUAAACCGGAGGAAGGUGGGGACGACGUCAAGUCAUCAUGGCCCUUACGAGUAGGGCUACACACGUGCUACAAUGGCGCAUACAGAGGGCGGCCAACUUGCAAAAGUGAGCGAAUCCCAAAAAGUGCGUCGUAGUCCGGAUUGGAGUCUGCAACUCGACUCCAUGAAGUCGGAAUCGCUAGUAAUCGUGGAUCAGAAUGCCACGGUGAAUACGUUCCCGGGCCUUGUACACACCGC
RNAcentral lists this ribosomal RNA (667 nucleotides) under Vibrio caribbeanicus. RNAcentral's name for it is "bacterial SSU rRNA". It matches the Rfam family "Bacterial small subunit ribosomal RNA", at positions 731 to 1393 of the family's 1533-position model. Lineage: Bacteria; Pseudomonadati; Pseudomonadota; Gammaproteobacteria; Vibrionales; Vibrionaceae. The record is from RNAcentral.